ACGCUCGACACCUACGGGGAGGCAGCAGUGGGGAAUAUUGCACAAUGGGGGAAACCCUGAUGCAGCGACGCCGCGUGAGCGAAGAAGUAUUUCGGUAUGUAAAGCUCUAUCAGCAGGGAAGAAACUGACGGUACCUGACUAAGAAGCGCCGGCUAAAUACGUGCCAGCAGCCAACGGUAAUCUGGAGGCGGGCGUGGACGAAGGC
Molecule: ribosomal RNA, 205 nt
Filed under: uncultured bacterium
Lineage: Bacteria
Description: partial 16S ribosomal RNA
Rfam family: Bacterial small subunit ribosomal RNA
Source: RNAcentral